This 1002-nucleotide long non-coding RNA is filed under the name Monodelphis domestica (gray short-tailed opossum). Its description in RNAcentral is "lncRNA (ENSMODG00000033086.2)". Lineage: Eukaryota; Metazoa; Chordata; Mammalia; Didelphimorphia; Didelphidae. The record is from RNAcentral.
ACAGGUCAACCACAGACAGACAAUUUAUUAGGCACCUACUAUGUGCCAGGCACUGUGCUAAAUGCUGGGGAUCCAAUACAAAUAAGUGAGGCAAUCCUUUUCCUCACCGAAUUUAUACUCUAAUGGAGAAAGAUAAUACAUAUAUGCAGGGGAUGCACAGAUAAAUGAUUAACAACUAGCUGUAUGAUAUAAUUUUCUGUUUAAUCUGGAUUAAUUGAAACAUUUUUUCCAUCGCUUCCUUAAGAUUUAGACCCAGGAUGGACAAACUCCAACUCUAAGAACAAAUCGACCUUCCUUAUAGCAGGCUGAGCAAACUAAGAAUGGUUUUCACAUUUGUAAAUAAAGUUUUAUUAAAAAAAACAAUCUGAAUCUGGGCCUACAAAAACAGGCCAGGGAGUUGAAUUUGGCCCAGAGGCAAGAGUUUGUUGAUUGCUUUCUCCCUCCUGCCCUCCCCAACUGGACAUAAAUCAAGCUUGGAUUGCCAAAUUUUGAGGUGUAAAUGAUCCCACUGAAAAUGUAACCUCUGGUCUAGGCUGGCUCCUGCACACUCCUGCUAGAGGGGAGCUAUACAGUUCGGCACCUCAGGGUCCUGGCAACGUGGUGAAUGAUGAAGAGGCUGGAGAGAGAGACCAGGUGUGAGAGAGAUGAAACGUGGCUGUGGUUCUUCCCAAAAUGGCAGCCCGAGGAGGGAGCCUUCUCCUAGGGGCAAUGGUUCUGUUCUUUCCCUGGAUGUUGUAAGAGAGAAAAUCAGAUCCAGCAUGGCAAAAGGAACAACCCAAGCAGGGGGAAGGGCAAAGAAGCCCCAAGAUUCCAGAAAGGAAGAGAUGAGCUGGGAGGAUUCAAAAACACUCACUUCACUUAUUCUUGGGAGCUCUCCUAGAGUGGAUGGUCUGAGGGAAGACCUCUGUGAUAGAGGGCCUCUCUAGACAUUGACUAUUUUCCAGUGAACCCCAAAUCCCUCUGUUCCAGCUGAAGCCAAUAAAAGUAGAUUGGGACUUUGCA